GGACCAGAAAGAGCUGACAGCCUGAUUUAUCAUCAUGGUAGAAUUUUAUGCCCUCAAAUAAAGGGGUGCUUAUUGGAAAGCCUAGUGCAAUCAUGCUAGCUGCCCAAGCUAAUUGUAAAAUUUCAGAUUUAUUGUGUUCAGUAGAAAUACAGCCUGUACAUUUGAAAUAUUAUCCAAAUGACCUGGCUUCAACUUAGAAAUCUUACAUGAAUUGAAACAAGUGAAUUAGGGAGACCUCUUGCCUUCAGC
This 249-nucleotide long non-coding RNA is filed under the name Pan troglodytes (chimpanzee). Its description in RNAcentral is "long non-coding RNA NONPTRT017508". Lineage: Eukaryota; Metazoa; Chordata; Mammalia; Primates; Hominidae. The record is from RNAcentral.